CAGGACGAACGCUGGCGGCGUGCUUCAUACAUGCAAGUCGAACGAGAAAUCAACUUCGGUGGUGGAAAGUGGCGGACGGGUGAGUAAUAUGUAGAGAAUCUGCCCUUAGCGGGGGACAACAGUUGGAAACGACUGCUAAUACCCCAUAUGAGCGUAGCUGAGAUGCUAUUCUUGAAAACUCCGGUGCUAAAGGAUGAGUCUGCAUCUGAUUAGCUAGUUGGCGGUGUAAUGGACCACCAAGGCGACGAUCAGUAGCUGGUUUGAGAGGACGAUCAGCCACAAUGGGACUGAGACACGGCCCAUACUCCUACGGGAGGCAGCAGUAGGGAAUUUUGCGCAAUGGGGGAAACCCUGACGCAAGCAACGCCGCGUGAUUGAAUAAGCCCUUCGGGGUGUAAAGAUCUGUCAGUAGGGACGAAACUUGACGGUACCUACAGAGGAAGCAUCGGCUAACUCCGUGCCAGCAGCCGC
Molecule: ribosomal RNA, 471 nt
Filed under: uncultured bacterium
Lineage: Bacteria
Description: bacterial SSU rRNA
Rfam family: Bacterial small subunit ribosomal RNA
Source: RNAcentral